Molecule: long non-coding RNA, 5899 nt
Organism: Choloepus didactylus (southern two-toed sloth)
Lineage: Eukaryota; Metazoa; Chordata; Mammalia; Pilosa; Megalonychidae
Exons: 3
Source: RefSeq, a predicted model, not a curated record
CUAGACAUGGAAGCACCUUGUACCUAGUGAUGUGGCAGACAAACUUCAGGGAUAAUUGAUAAAGGAGAAUUAAGGACGGAAGUGCCACGGCAGGCCCGGGUGGCCAGGGAUGUGUCAGAGUAAUAACGCAGGUGAUUCGGCCAGCAGCAACUGCCCUGAGUCCACCGUGAAGACCUAGCAGGAGAGGCUGUAGCAGGUCAGUCGGCUUUAUGGAGUCUAUUAUGUGCUUCACAGCACCUGGGGUCGUGACGAAGAAGGCGUAUGAGUCACCCCUCAACUUGGGCAUUUUGGUGACCUCCCAGAAUAGCCAGAAAGAUGCCAACGGGAGAGACUGACUCUUGGAGCAAAGAGCUCAAAGUGGGCCACUGAAGAAGGGGUCUUCCCAGAGAGAUCACAACUUUCUCGAAGGCAGCGACCCUGUCCUAGUCAUCUCUGACUUUCCAGGACCCAGUCCAGAGCCUGGCACAGGAAAGAAUCAAGGCCUGCUUGCUGGGCCUGGGUGACAACUUGAGGGCAGGAUUCUUGCCUGAUCCAACUUAAUCUCCAGUGUUCAGUACUACUCUCAGGUGUGCUAAACCCCUGCUGAAGGCGGCCGCAGCCUUGAAGGAAGGGUUGGAGUCAGAGGGGCACCAGGAAGGCCUUCCAGGCAAGCAGCAGCAUCUGGAAAGGCAGGAAAGGGGGGCACGCACGGUGUAGACAGAGGAUUUCUACUGGAAGCAAGUGACAGUGAAGGCUGGAAGGAAUUACUUAGAUGGUCAUAAAGCACUACAACCCUGGGUAGUGGACAACAGAUGAAGAAAGAGCAAUUCAGAGACGUCCAGAGACUUGCCUAAGAUCACAUAUGUAGCAGCAGAGCCCAGGACCACUCAUAAACCCAGGACUGCUGACUUCCAGUUCAGGGCCCACCCAGGGCCAGAUGCUGAAAGGCCCUGAAUAUCCUGGAGGGGGGACUGCAAAUCAACUUGGUAAAACCCUGUGUAGCCACAAGAGAGCUGUACCUGGGGGUGGGAGGGGGGUGAUGUAAAGGUCCUGCCUGCACCCACCUCAGGCAGAAAGUCAAGGGAGACGGCACUGGCCACCUGGGCUCAGCACCCUGGGAGGGGCACACUGACCACUGCACAGCUACUGGGUCUGGGCUCCGGACCAGCUGUCACCUCCUGCAUGAUUCCAGCAGGAUGGGUGGGCUACCCCACUCCCAAAAGCUUCAAGAGAGCAGAAAGCUACAUUUGGAGAGAGGAAGGACCUGAGCCAAGCCCAAGGUGGGGAACAGGAGACCUGGGUUCUAGUCUAAGGCCUGUCACCAACUCACUUCAACAAGCCCUUGCCUUUCCUCGGCCUCAGUUUCCCCAUCUGCGGAGGCUCAGUGUGAACCUUACCAGCUCUGAUAUCUCAUUGACAAGCUCUGCUGCUGGACAAAGCCAGUUGCUGUAAUACUCUCCGUCUCUGUCAAUGCCAAGGGCAGCAUCUGGGCCUACAAUAGUCUUCAUGCCGGAGCAAAAUUCCACGAGGCAGUGCGGGGCUGCGUAAAGAGCCCUGGUUUGCUAACGAAGGUGCUGGCUCUCCCAGUCCUAAACCAUAACUUCGCUGUGACCUUUGGCAAAUCACAGCACCGAGCCUCCGUUUCUUCCUCUCUAACAUGUGGACAAGCAACACCCGAGGCCUGGGGUUGCUGCGAGGAAGAGGUGCGAAGAAAGGUAAAAAAAAAAACAAAAGAAAACCCAGAAGAAAACAAAAACAAGAAAACACCUUGCAGCUGCAGAACAAGGGCAUGGCAGGGAUAAUGUAUGACAACUCUGCUUUCAAGGAAGGAACAAGGCGGGCAGGUAACAGCAUCUUGGAUGGAGGGGUGGGAUGGCAAAGGGCCUCUCUGCUCUGCCCCCCAGGGCUGGGUGCACCUUGUGGCCUUGUGUGGCUGCUGCCCUGACUUGGGUUCUGCGAGGGCACAGAGGAAGUGACGCCAGAGGGGCUGGCCCACUCUGGGGUCCCCGGUGAGAGGAAGACCCACCGGUCAGGAAGCAGCUUCCCUGGAGACCUAGGCAGAGGGCUGGGGCCUGGGCUCGAGGGAGGGCUGGGUGGCCCCACAUGCAAGCUGGGAGACCUUAAAGAAGAUGGCUGGGAAUGGAGACAGUUUGGAAGAAUGAGCAGGACUGUCACUCAAGGAUCUCUGUCCAAAGUUUCCACCCAAACUCAGCCACGAGUCAGAGGAGGCAGGAGAGCCUGGUGGUUAAGAGAGCGAAGGCUGGAGAACCAGGCAGCCUGGCUUCCCAGCUCUGCCACCUGCUGCCAGGUCUCCUUGGCACGUACUUAACCUCUGAGUCUCAGAUUCUUCAUCUGAAAAGUGAGGCUCAUAAUCAUUUCCAUCCUGAAGGGCUGUUCUGAGCAUCUGAUAAGAUUACGUCUCUCAAGGUGUAGCAAAGGGCUGCUGAGGAAAGUGCUCUGCAAAGGGCACUGUUCCAGCUCGGUACCUUCCUGGCCCCAGGCCCACAGAGGGUCUGCUGGCAGCACAGCACAGCCGCCACAGCAGCAGCAAGAGAUGGGGAGAGCCAGGCCCCUCAGGGGCGGAGCUCGGCACCCUGUCCCCGUCAUCAUCACUGGUUGCAGGCCGAGCCUGGCUGGCAGGACUCUCCAGAGGCACUGAGGAAGGUCGAAGGAGGCAGAGCCCUCUGGGGACCCCCCUGAAUCUGCCUCUUGUCACCUGAAAAUCAGGGAUAAUAGUCACCCCCUUCCUUACAGGGUACCUGAGUACAGGUCACAAGAGUUGUGGGUGUGGCUGGCUUUGGAAAAGCUGAAAAGAGCCUGUGGAGGUAGGGUCCUUGAAACUCAUAGCAGCAGGGUCCCUGAGGCAGGCAUGGGGGGUAGGGGAGAGGGCAGGGAGACCAGAGACCCCCUAAGCAGGUCCCUGAGGCUCCCUCUCCAGGGGAUGUCCUGAAAGUCUCCCCAACGCUUCCCCUAAAAAUCGAACCAGCUGGCUGAGCACAGUGAAGGUGGGGGACACAGAAGGCACGCUUGGAGGGCCACUCUCCCUGCCUCUUCCCCCGCCCCACGCUGGGAACAGUUUGUCACCUCAGGCCUCUGGGAGCCAGGAGAUAUACUGAGUGGAUGGAAGAGCUGAGCAUGCUCAGAAGAGGCUGCCCUUUAGAGGACACUGCAGAGAAAAGAUGAGGACAAGGCCGGCUGCAAGCCCUGGUCCCGGUGCCAGGAAGGCCCAGAACUCAAGGAACAACGAAGGGAGGCCAGGCCUCUCCUGGGGGAGAACAGGGGCCACAGAGCCACAGGGCUCGUCAAGACCAUGCCGACCAACCUCUCCAUUGCACAGAUGCAGAGAAUGAAGCCCAGAGAGGGGCAGGGACUUGGGUGGAGUCACGCAGCAAGUUGUAGAAGAGCCAGAACACACACCCAGGACAGUUUACCCCAAAGCCAGUCCUUGCUAGGUCCACGGUGCCAUCACACCACUUUUUUUUUUUUUUUUUUAGCUACCUUUUAUUGAGCAUUUCACACUGAUGCUUGGUAUACCUACCUGUGUGAUUCUCCUAACCACCCUGGGACAUGGGCAUCACCACCUUCCUUCUACAAUGGAGGAAACUGAGACACACAGCCUGGUCUCUCUGACUUCACUGCCCUGGCCCCAACCACGCUGCCCCCAGCUCUGAGCCCUGCCUUUCAGUCCUGCUGCCGGGCCAAAUGGGGAGUGCUGGGGGCAGGGACCCUUGCUGUGUGACCCCUGAUGAGCCACUCACCCACUCAAUUUCUGGGACCCUCUCAGGCCCCCAGCAGCCCAGUAUGCUGGGGUUCUGUGUGUGCUCUGCACUGGUACCCCAGUGAAGAAGAUCGGAACUCCUCUAGCAGCACCUCUCAAGUCUAGGUCUGGCCCGGGGACCCCUGCUUAGUGACUGUCUACACUGCCUUGGGGGACACUAUGCAGCCCUCCCACCACACACUGCUACAGGGAAGGAGAAUUAGCACCAAGCCCCAGGCUUUCUCAAUGAGACAGACACUAUUAUUUCCAUUUCCAGAAGAGAAACAGGCUCAGAGCUUAAAAAGCUUGCCCAGGGGUCGCACAGCCAGUAAGCAACAAAACUCGUAUUUGAUCCCAGGACUGCCUGAGCCCAGAGCCCAAGCUCUGCCCUCAUGCCAGGCCGAUUGAUAGGGAACGGCCUGGUAACUGCUUCGUGCAGAAGCUCCCAUCCUCAGGGUGCAGGCCCUGGAGUCCAGCUCAGAUGUGGCUGUGGAGUGACAGCCUGGCUGGGGGCCAAGUGCCCAUCAGUGGUGAGCAGGGCUUGGAGGUGCAGGGUCCCAGGCAGGCUAAGGUUGCCUACCAGCCUGCUUGCCAGCCAGCCCACACCAUAAAAGUAACUGUGCCAUGCCCAGGGAGGAGAUAAGGAAGCCUUUGUCAGUGCCAGCUUUCUCCUGGCCCUGUGCUGGCUGCUGGGCUGGGCAGGGCACAUCAUGUGAUCCUGCACAUGGCCCAGAGGGGCGGGGUGCACAGGCUGCCCUGCAGCAAGGGAGAUGCCGGUGGCAGCCGGAACUGGGCAAGGAACUGGGCAGGACACAGAGGGCCCGGAACUCAAGCCAGAGUCCUGGAUUCUAAUCAGCUCCAUUUCCCAGCCUCCUUGUGAGAUGGGGAUGUUAAUACAAAUGAUAGCCAGCACUUAUCAAGGGCUUCUUCCCCCUCCUAAGUGCCCAUUGAGGGAGGUAAUAUCAUACCCAUAUCACAGAUGAGGAAACUGAGGCUCAGAGAGGCUAGUUACUUGCCCAAGGCUGGCAAGUGGCAGGGCCAAGCAGGAUUCAAGCCCAGGAGGCUGACUCUAGACCUAUAGGUAUUUAUCCUCCAGGCCAUUUCUCUACUGGGUUCCUGUCUGAACCACAGAACAGAGAAAAUGAUCUGGAUAACUAUUUUCUCAGUUCUCCCAAGGAUGGACCUCACUGGAACUGUCUUGGAACGUCCAAAGAAGACUGGGCCUCAGCAUGGUAACGACUAUCGUCGUUGCUAUCACUGGAAUGCAAAGAGCGUCAUUCCUGGAGGCGUGUCCUCCUGCUGCCCUAACUCUUCCAGUCCCUGAGACCCUGGGCCUUGGGUUUCCUCACCUGUAUAAGAAAGGGAAGGGACCAGGUAACCACAAAUGGCUCCUCCACUCUGGCUUCCAGGAUUCAAGGUCGCCUGAUCCACUUUCUUCUGUAUGCGACCUGGGUAAAUUAGUUAACCUCUCUAGAUCUCGGGGUCCUCGUUUGUAAAAUGGGGAUACCUCCCCCCACCUCACCAGGUCAGGUCAGGACCACCGGGGUGAUGAAGGCAGAGGGCCCAGCCUGGUGCCUGUACAAGGCAAGUGCCCGAGGAUGAGGUAGCUCUGCCUUCUAAUCUUUGUGCUGGACUUUUCGUGACGUCACCAUUCACUGCCACUAGAAAGUGUGUCCUGCUGCACCCUCUCCCUGAAAGCAGAUAUCAGGGCUUAGAGCCCCUCCCCACCCCCCAAACCCCCCACACCCCACCUGGGCUAAUAAGGCACCUGCUGCCAGACAGGCCCUGCCCAGCUCCCUGAUAUCACUGCCACGGGAGCUUUCAUAAUGAGCUACAGUUCCAAGGGGCCAUUUCUGCCACUGCGUACCUGGUAUUGCAGGUGGUAGGUAAACACUGGGGAGAGUGGGGCUCACCUGAGCCGGAACAUACAAAUCUUAUCGUGCCAAAUCCUUCUUGGAGAGGGAAGGGUGAGUGAGGCAAAGGCCCCAGCCCAUGCCAGCCAGAUUCUUGACCUCAGCCUGGUUCCUAACCACGCAGCCCAGUGGGGUCCCCUUUCCAGCCUCUGGAAUUCUGUAGACUAGAAGUCUAAGAGACCAGUGAAAUCUAAGCCUUUGUCUUCCUAAGAAGACAGGGAUCAGGGGACCAAGCCUAAGUUCUUCGCGG